This 28-nucleotide small RNA is filed under the name Bombyx mori (domestic silkworm). RNAcentral describes it as "ovarian small RNA-19967". The record is from RNAcentral. Lineage: Eukaryota; Metazoa; Arthropoda; Insecta; Lepidoptera; Bombycidae.
UAAUUUGUAUACAAAGUACAAAAGGCCA